RNAcentral lists this ribosomal RNA (300 nucleotides) under Thraustochytriidae sp. RNAcentral describes it as "SSU rRNA". It matches the Rfam family "Eukaryotic small subunit ribosomal RNA", at positions 1306 to 1610 of the family's 1831-position model. Lineage: Eukaryota; Bigyra; Thraustochytrida; Thraustochytriidae. The record is from RNAcentral.
GUGAUUUUGCUGGUUAAUUCCGUUAACGAACGAGACCUCGGCCUACUAAAUAGUUCGUGUUAUGGUAACAUAGUAUGAGACUUCUUAGAGGGACAUUUCGGGUUUACCGAAAGGAAGUUUGUGGCAAUAACAGGUCUGUGAUGCCCUUAGAUGUUCUGGGCCGCACGCGCGCUACACUGACGACUUCAACAAGUUUUUUGGCCUUGCCAAAUUUCCUUGGCCGGAAGGUCUGGGUAAUCUUUUAAAAGGUCGUCGUGAUGGGGCUAGAUUCUUGCAAUUAUUAAUCUCCAACGAGGAACC